RNAcentral lists this ribosomal RNA (255 nucleotides) under uncultured Gardnerella sp. Its description in RNAcentral is "partial 16S ribosomal RNA". It matches the Rfam family "Bacterial small subunit ribosomal RNA", at positions 99 to 354 of the family's 1533-position model. Lineage: Bacteria; Bacillati; Actinomycetota; Actinomycetes; Bifidobacteriales; Bifidobacteriaceae. The record is from RNAcentral.
CGAACGGGUGAGUAAUGCGUGACCAACCUGCCCCAUGCUCCAGAAUAGCUCUUGGAAACGGGUGGUAAUGCUGGAUGCUCCAACUUGACGCAUGUCUUGUUGGGAAAGUGUUUAGUGGCAUGGGAUGGGGUCGCGUCCUAUCAGCUUGUAGGCGGGGUAAUGGCCCACCUAGGCUUCGACGGGUAGCCGGCCUGAGAGGGCGGACGGCCACAUUGGGACUGAGAUACGGCCCAGACUCCUACGGGAGGCAGCAGG